RNAcentral lists this ribosomal RNA (313 nucleotides) under uncultured Leptolinea sp. RNAcentral describes it as "bacterial SSU rRNA". It matches the Rfam family "Bacterial small subunit ribosomal RNA", at positions 1051 to 1377 of the family's 1533-position model. Lineage: Bacteria; Bacillati; Chloroflexota; Anaerolineae; Anaerolineales; Anaerolineaceae. The record is from RNAcentral.
GUCGUCAGCUCGUGUCGUGAGAUGUCGUUAAGUCCGCUAACGAGCGCAACCCUCGUCGUGUGUUAUACGUGUCACACGAUACUGCCGGUAUCAAGCCGGAGGAAGGUGGGGAUGAUGUCAAGUCAGCAUGGCCUUUAUAUCCUGGGCUACACACACGCUACAAUGGCAGAUACAAUAGGUUGCGAAACCGCGAGGUGGAGCCAAUCCUCAAAGUCUGUCUCAGUUCAGAUUGUAGGCUGCAACUCGCCUGCAUGAAGUUGGAGUUGCUAGUAAACGCAGGUCAGCUAUACUGCGUUGAAUACGUCCCGGGAUU